GCAGAAUUAGUGCAGCGACAGCACGCAUACUUGAAAAGUAUGAGGCGGUGGUUUGAAUCCAUCAUUCUGCC
Molecule: transfer RNA, 71 nt
Filed under: Bacteroides uniformis
Lineage: Bacteria; Pseudomonadati; Bacteroidota; Bacteroidia; Bacteroidales; Bacteroidaceae
Also listed under: 1 other name
Description: tRNA-Phe
Rfam family: tRNA
About the family: Transfer RNA (tRNA) molecules are approximately 80 nucleotides in length. Their secondary structure includes four short double-helical elements and three loops (D, anti-codon, and T loops).
Source: RNAcentral